Pantherophis guttatus is the source of this 757-nucleotide long non-coding RNA. RefSeq lists it as uncharacterized. The record is from RefSeq and is a predicted model, not a curated record. Lineage: Eukaryota; Metazoa; Chordata; Lepidosauria; Squamata; Colubridae.
UGCUAGUUUGCAACCUGGAACUGACAUUUCCUGCGAUUUCAUGUUGAUCAGGAUGUAAGCCAGAUGUUUUGGACUACAUAUCCCCAGCCAACAAGAUCAAUGGGCCAAGUGUCCAGAGGAAUGUUGGACCAACCUAUGAAUUGCUCUCCUGCACAAAACCCAACGCUUGGCGACAGCAAAUUGGGCCAGGAAAUUAGCAUUGACUUCUCCAAGCUGCUACACGUGGCCUGUUUUUCACGGUUGUGUGAGAAGCAUCAGGCAGGACCUUGACAUAAAAAGGACCGUUAAGCAGCAGCAGAAGAAACUAUACCGAAGUGCUCCUGGAACUACAGAGAAAGAAAACUUUUAACCAACUUUUCUGGAUGUGGCAGAGCUACUCCCCAUUCUUUUAGAGUACAGUGGAGAAAUAUUUACACAUCAUUUAGUAUUUAUACCAGAAAAUUGUUAUUACUUUUAAGGAACCUCUGAAGAAGACUAAGCCGAGACAUGACAACUGGCCAAAUCACAAUUGAAUCAGGAUACUUUUAAAAUGGUGAAGAAAGUGAAACUGAAGAGCUACCAUCACCAUCAACUAGGACACAGCUAGAAAUCCAGAUUGAAAUAUCAACCCUGGGUCAAGCUUCACAUUCUCAAUGUUUUUUUAAAAUCACAUAUUAUAUACCAAUAUAAUGGUCGGCCAACGUUCCAUUUUUUGUUAGUGCAGAAGAUAAUUUUGACACGUAACUGUUAGUAUGCUGGAUAAGAGCACUAGUGCAAU